Molecule: unclassified non-coding RNA, 337 nt
Filed under: soil metagenome
Description: partial contains 5.8S ribosomal RNA, internal transcribed spacer 2, and large subunit ribosomal RNA
Rfam family: 5.8S ribosomal RNA (bases 1-120)
Source: RNAcentral
GAUGAAGAACGUAGCGAAAUGCGAUAAGUAGUGUGAAUUGCAGAAUUCAGUGAAUCAUCGAAUCUUUGAACGCACAUUGCGCCCCUUGGUAUUCCAUGGGGCAUGCCUGUUCGAGCGUCAUUUGUACCUUCAAGCUCUGCUUGGUGUAGGGUGUUUGUCUCGCCUCUGCGUGUAGACUCGCCUUAAAACAAUUGGCAGCCGGCGUAUUGAUUUCGGAGCGCAGUACAUCUCGCGCUUUGCACUCAUAACGACGACGUCCAAAAGUACAUUUUUACACUCUUGACCUCGGAUCAGGUAGGGAUACCCGCUGAACUUAAGCAUAUCAAUAAGCGGAGGA